UACGAAGGGGGCUAGCGUUGCUCGGAAUGACUGGGCGUAAAGGGCGCGUAGGCGGAUUGUACAGUCAGGCGUGAAAUUCCCGGGCUCAACCUGGGGGCUGCGCUUGAUACGUAUGGUCUGGAGUGGGGAAGAGGGUCGUGGAAUUCCCAGUGUAGAGGUGAAAUUCGUAGAUAUUGGGAAGAACACCGGUGGCGAAGGCGGCGACCUGGUCCUUGACUGACGCUGAGGCGCGAAAGCGUGGGGAGCAAACAGG
RNAcentral lists this ribosomal RNA (253 nucleotides) under uncultured bacterium. RNAcentral's name for it is "partial 16S ribosomal RNA". It matches the Rfam family "Bacterial small subunit ribosomal RNA", at positions 524 to 776 of the family's 1533-position model. The record is from RNAcentral.